UACAGAGGGGGCAAGCGUUGUUCGGAAUUACUGGGCGUAAAGGGCGCGUAGGCGGCCUGUUAAGUCGAACGUGAAAUCCCCGGGCUCAACCCGGGAACUGCGUCCGAUACUGGCAGGCUUGAAUCCGGGAGAGGGAUGCGGAAUUCCAGGUGUAGCGGUGAAAUGCGUAGAUAUCUGGAGGAACACCGGUGGCGAAGGCGGCAUCCUGGACCGACACUGACGCUGAGGAGCGAAAGCCAGGGGAGCAAACGGG
Molecule: ribosomal RNA, 253 nt
Filed under: uncultured bacterium
Lineage: Bacteria
Description: partial 16S ribosomal RNA
Rfam family: Bacterial small subunit ribosomal RNA
Source: RNAcentral